This 261-nucleotide ribosomal RNA is filed under the name uncultured archaeon. Its description in RNAcentral is "partial 16S ribosomal RNA". It matches the Rfam family "Archaeal small subunit ribosomal RNA", at positions 748 to 1009 of the family's 1478-position model. The record is from RNAcentral.
UAGCCGUAAACGAUACUCGCUAGGUGUCGGCCACGGUGCGACCGUUGUCGGUGCCGUAGGGAAGCCGUGAAGCGAGCCACCUGGGAAGUACGGCCGCAAGGCUGAAACUUAAAGGAAUUGGCGGGGGAGCACCACAACGGGUGGAGCUUGCGGUUUAAUUAGAUUCAACGCCGGAAAUCUUACCGGGACCGACAGCAACAUGAAGGCCAGGCUGAAGACUUUGCCGGAUUAGCUGAGAGGAGGUGCAUGGCGUAGUCGUGU